AGCCUGAGCCAAUUCCAGACAUAGCUGCAGCGGUACCUCAUUGAAACCUGAAGCAAAGGACGUAUUACAAAGAUUUUGGAGAAUGCAUGGAAUAAAGGAAGGACUGAACAAUUAAGCUAUGGGAAGAACUGAAACACAGAAGUUCCAAGACCUCCAGAAGCUGGGGAAUGGAAACAUGCUUUCUAUAGCAUUGCCUAGCGUCGUGCAACUCUGACACUCUCUGUUUCUAUGUAUCUCAAUUCAGGUUUUCCAAUUAUUAGAAGAAUUAAUCUAACUGAACAAACUUGGGUCAGAUAUCUGUAUUUUGAGAGCAUAUAGCUAUGUCCAGGGGACAGAGUAGAAUACAUAGGCUUAUCCUUGGGGUAACUACAUGGAGCUGAGCAACCAUCGCAGUUUGUGU
Molecule: long non-coding RNA, 400 nt
Filed under: Homo sapiens (human)
Lineage: Eukaryota; Metazoa; Chordata; Mammalia; Primates; Hominidae
Description: GLINC-3.11
Source: RNAcentral